GGCGUGGCGGCUGCUUUAACAUGCAGUCGACGGCAGCACGGGCUUCGGCCUGGUGGCGAGUGGCGAACGGGUGAGUAAUACAUCGGAACGUACCCAGAAGUGGGGGAUAACGCAGCGAAAGUUGCGCUAAUACCGCAUACGUUCUACGGAAGAAAGUGGGGGAUCUUCGGACCUCAUGCUUUUGGAGCGGCCGAUGUCUGAUUAGCUAGUUGGUGGGGUAAAGGCUCACCAAGGCGACGAUCAGUAGCUGGUCUGAGAGGACGACCAGCCACACUGGAACUGAGACACGGUCCAGACUCCUACGGGAGGCAGCAGUGGGGAAUUUUGGACAAUGGGCGCAAGCCUGAUCCAGCAAUGCCGCGUGAGUGAAGAAGGCCUUCGGGUUGUAAAGCUCUUUUGUCAGGGAAGAAACGGCUCCGGCUAAUAUCCGGGGCUAAUGACGGUACCUGAAGAAUAAGCACCGGCUAACUACGUGCCAGCAGCCGCGGUAAUACGUAGGGUGCAAGCGUUAAUCGGAAUUACUGGGCGUAAAGCGUGCGCAGGCGGUUUUGUAAGUCUGUCGUGAAAGCCCCGGGCUCAACCUGGGAAUUGCGAUGGAGACUGCAAGGCUUGAAUCUGGCAGAGGGGGGUAGAAUUCCACGUGUAGCAGUGAAAUGCGUAGAGAUGUGGAGGAACACCGAUGGCGAAGGCAGCCCCCUGGGUCAAGAUUGACGCUCAUGCACGAAAGCGUGGGGAGCAAACAGGAUUAGAUACCCUGGUAGUCCACGCCCUAAACGAUGUCUACUAGUUUGUCGGGUUUUAAUUAACUUGGUAACGCAGCUAACGCGUGAAGUAGACCGCCUGGGGAGUACGGUCGCAAGAUUAAAACUCAAAGGAAUUGACGGGGACCCGCACAAGCGGUGGAUGAUGUGGAUUAAUUCGAUGCAACGCGAAAACCUUACCUACCCUUGACAUGGAAGAAUCCCGAGAGAUUGGGAGUGCCCGAAAGGGACCUUCACACAGGUGCUGCAUGGCUGUCGUCAGCUCGUGUCGUGGGAUGUUUGGGG
This 1046-nucleotide ribosomal RNA is filed under the name Massilia varians. RNAcentral describes it as "bacterial SSU rRNA". It matches the Rfam family "Bacterial small subunit ribosomal RNA", at positions 32 to 1081 of the family's 1533-position model. The record is from RNAcentral. Lineage: Bacteria; Pseudomonadati; Pseudomonadota; Betaproteobacteria; Burkholderiales; Oxalobacteraceae.